This 897-nucleotide ribosomal RNA is filed under the name Fusarium hanswilhelmii. Its description in RNAcentral is "partial large subunit ribosomal RNA". It matches the Rfam family "Eukaryotic large subunit ribosomal RNA", at positions 38 to 965 of the family's 3401-position model. The record is from RNAcentral. Lineage: Eukaryota; Fungi; Ascomycota; Sordariomycetes; Hypocreales; Nectriaceae.
GCAUAUCAAUAAGCGGAGGAAAAGAAACCAACAGGGAUUGCCCUAGUAACGGCGAGUGAAGCGGCAACAGCUCAAAUUUGAAAUCUGGCUCUCGGGCCCGAGUUGUAAUUUGUAGAGGAUGUUUUUGAUGCGGUGCCUUCCGAGUUCCCUGGAACGGGACGCCAUAGAGGGUGAGAGCCCCGUCUGGUUGGAUGCCAAAUCUCUGUAAAACUCCUUCAACGAGUCGAGUAGUUUGGGAAUGCUGCUCUAAAUGGGAGGUAUAUGUCUUCUAAAGCUAAAUACCGGCCAGAGACCGAUAGCGCACAAGUAGAGUGAUCGAAAGAUGAAAAGCACUUUGAAAAGAGAGUUAAAAAGUACGUGAAAUUGUUGAAAGGGAAGCGUUUAUGACCAGACUUGGACUUGGAUAAUCAUCUGGGGUUCUCCCCAGUGCACUUGCCCAUUCCAGGCCAGCAUCAGUUUUCCCCGGGGGAUAAAGACUUUGGGAAUGUGGCUCCCUUCGGGGAGUGUUAUAGCCCAUUGUGUAAUACCCUGGGGGGGACUGAGGUUCGCGCAUCUGCAAGGAUGCUGGCGUAAUGGUCAUCAAUGACCCGUCUUGAAACACGGACCAAGGAGUCGUCUUCGUAUGCGAGUGUUCGGGUGUCAAACCCCUACGCGUAAUGAAAGUGAACGCAGGUGAGAGCUUCGGCGCAUCAUCGACCGAUCCUGAUGUUCUCGGAUGGAUUUGAGUAAGAGCAUACGGGGCCGGACCCGAAAGAAGGUGAACUAUGCCUGUAUAGGGUGAAGCCAGAGGAAACUCUGGUGGAGGCUCGCAGCGGUUCUGACGUGCAAAUCGAUCGUCAAAUAUGGGCAUGGGGGCGAAAGACUAAUCGAACCUUCUAGUAGCUGGUUUCCGCCGAA